This 249-nucleotide ribosomal RNA is filed under the name uncultured Actinomycetales bacterium. RNAcentral's name for it is "partial 16S ribosomal RNA". It matches the Rfam family "Bacterial small subunit ribosomal RNA", at positions 84 to 334 of the family's 1533-position model. Lineage: Bacteria; Bacillati; Actinomycetota; Actinomycetes; Actinomycetales. The record is from RNAcentral.
GGGGUGCUCGAGUGGCGAACGGGUGAGUAACACGUGAGUAACCUGCCCUUGACUUUGGGAUAACUUCAGGAAACUGGGGCUAAUACCGGAUAGGAGCUCCUGCUGCAUGGUGGGGGUUGGAAGGUUUCGGCGGUUGGGGAUGGACUCGCGGCUUAUCAGCUUGUUGGUGGGGUAGUGGCUUACCAAGGCUUUGACGGGUAGCCGGCCUGAGAGGGUGACCGGCCACAUUGGGACUGAGAUACGGCCCAG